GACGUAGGGUGCGAGCGUUGUCCGGAUUUAUUGGGCGUAAAGAGCUCGUAGGCGGCUCGUCGCGUCAGCUGUGAAAACCCGCGGCUUAACCGUGGGCGUGCAGCUGAUACGGGCGGGCUAGAGUUCGGUAGGGGAGACUGGAAUUCCUGGUGUAGCGGUGAAAUGCGCAGAUAUCAGGAGGAACACCGGUGGCGAAGGCGGGUCUCUGGCCCGAUACUGACGCUGAGGCACGAAAGCGUGGGGAGCAAACAGG
Molecule: ribosomal RNA, 253 nt
Filed under: uncultured bacterium
Lineage: Bacteria
Description: partial 16S ribosomal RNA
Rfam family: Bacterial small subunit ribosomal RNA
Source: RNAcentral